This 372-nucleotide ribosomal RNA is filed under the name uncultured organism. Its description in RNAcentral is "bacterial SSU rRNA". It matches the Rfam family "Bacterial small subunit ribosomal RNA", at positions 526 to 896 of the family's 1533-position model. The record is from RNAcentral.
CGGAGGGGGCUAGCGUUACUCGGAAUUAUUGGGCGUAAAGGGCGCGUAGGCGGUCGUGUGCGUCAGAGGUGAAAUCCCCCGGCUUAACCGGGGAGCUGCCUCUGAUACGGCAUGGCUUGAGUCCGGGAGAGGAGAGCAGAAUUCCCAGUGUAGCGGUGAAAUGCGUAGAUAUUGGGAGGAAUACCGGUGGCGAAGGCGGCUCUCUGGACCGGUACUGACGCUGAUGCGCGAAAGCGUGGGUAGCAAACAGGAUUAGAUACCCUGGUAGUCCACGCCGUAAACGAUGGGUGCUUGGUGUCGGGGGUAUCGACCCCUCCGGUGCCGAAGCUAACGCAUUAAGCACCCCGCCUGGGGAGUACGGUCGCAAGGCUG